This 459-nucleotide ribosomal RNA is filed under the name uncultured bacterium. RNAcentral's name for it is "partial 16S ribosomal RNA". It matches the Rfam family "Bacterial small subunit ribosomal RNA", at positions 338 to 795 of the family's 1533-position model. The record is from RNAcentral.
CCUACGAGAGGCAGCAGUGAGGAAUAUUGGUCAAUGGGCGCGAGCCUGAACCAGCCAAGUCGCGUGAAGGAAGCCGGUCCUAUGGAUUGUAAACCUCUUUUGUCGGGGAGCAAAAGACGCCACGCGUGGCUUUCCGAGAGUACCCGAAGAAAAAGCAUCGGCUAACUCCGUGCCAGCAGCCUCGGUAAUACGGAGGAUGCGAGCGUUAUCCGGAUUUAUUGGGUUUAAUGGGUGCGCAGGCGGAAGAUAAAGCCAGCGGUAAAAUUGAGAGGGUCAACCUCUUCGAGCCGUUGAAACUGGUUUUAUUGAGUGAGUGAGAAGUAUGCGGAAUGCGUGGUGUAGCGGUGAAAGGCAUAGAUAUCACGCAGAACUCCGAUUGCGAAGGCAGCAUACCGGCGCUCAACUGACGCUCAUGCACGAAAGUGUGGGUAUCGAACAGGAUUAGAUACCCCGGUAGUC